Molecule: ribosomal RNA, 802 nt
Filed under: uncultured bacterium
Lineage: Bacteria
Description: bacterial SSU rRNA
Rfam family: Bacterial small subunit ribosomal RNA
Source: RNAcentral
GAUAAACGCUGACGGUGUGCCUAAUACAUGCAAGUCGAACGGGCAGUGUAUCGGUGGCAACACUUUUAUACUGCUAGUGGCGAACGGGUGAGUAACGCGUGGGUAAUCUGCCUUAAAGACUGGGAUAACUCCUCGAAAGAGGUGCUAAUACCGGAUGGUCUAUAUUAAUCUCAUGAUUUUUAUAGUAAAGGUAGCCGCAAGGCCUCUGCUUUAAGAUGAGCUCGCGUCCUAUUAGCUAGUUGGUGGGGUAAUGGCCUACCAAGGCAAUGAUGGGUAACCGGUCUGAGAGGAUGGUCGGUCACACUGGGACUGAGAUACGGCCCAGACUCCUACGGGAGGCAGCAGUAGGGAAUAUUGCGCAAUGGGCGAAAGCCUGACGCAGCAACGCCGCGUGGGGGAUGAAGGCCCUCGGGUCGUAAACCCCUUUUCUCAGGGAAGAUAAUGACGGUACCUGAGGAAUAAGUCUCGGCUAACUACGUGCCAGCAGCCGCGGUAAUACGUAGGUGACAAGCGUUGUCCGGAUUUACUGGGCGUAAAGAGCGCGCAGGCGGUCGAUCAAGUCGAGUGUGAAAGCCCCCGGCUCAACUGGGGAGGGUCAUUCGAUACUGGUCGACUCGAAGGCAGGAGAGGGUAGUGGAAUUCCCGGUGUAGUGGUGAAAUGCGUAGAUAUCGGGAGGAACACCAGUGGCGAAGGCGACUACCUGGCCUGUUCUUGACGCUGAGGCGCGAAAGCUAGGGGAGCAAACGGGAUUAGAUACCCCGGUAGUCCUAGCCGUAAACGAUGGACACUAGGUGUUGGUAG